GAUGAAGAACGCAGCGAAACGCGAUAGUUAAUGUGAAUUGCAGAAUUCAGUGAAUCAUCGAGUCUUUGAACGCACAUUGCGCCUUUUGGUAUUCCGAGAGGCACGUCUGUUUGAGCGUCAGCAAAACCCUCCGGCCCCCGGUUUUAUCGCCGGGGAACUCGGGCCAGCUGGCGCGGGGACUGGCCGCCGCGCUUCGGUGCGGGCGGGCCUUCCCCCGCUUAAAGGUGUUGAAGUUAGCGGGGUGUGCCCCGGAUCGCGAAGACUCGUAAGCACUUACCGUCUUGAAGCGUCCGGAAAACCCCCCGCCUUAAACCAAAAAAAAUAAAGUGUGCCCUCUCGUGGCCCUUUUUUUUUUCGAACCCUUGACCUCAGAUCAGACGAGGAUACCCGCUGAACUUAAGCAUAUCAAUAAGCGGAGGA
This 420-nucleotide unclassified non-coding RNA is filed under the name soil metagenome. RNAcentral describes it as "partial contains 5.8S ribosomal RNA, internal transcribed spacer 2, and large subunit ribosomal RNA". The stretch from base 1 to 120 matches the Rfam family "5.8S ribosomal RNA", at positions 35 to 154 of the family's 154-position model. The record is from RNAcentral.